Molecule: small RNA, 30 nt
Filed under: Bombyx mori (domestic silkworm)
Lineage: Eukaryota; Metazoa; Arthropoda; Insecta; Lepidoptera; Bombycidae
Description: piRNA piR-bmo-1715088
Source: RNAcentral
UGAGUUGAUACCGCCUAUCCUCCGGAUGAA